GACGAACGCUGGCGGCGUGCUUAACACAUGCAAGUCGAACGGAAAGGCCCUGCUUUUGUGGGGUGCUCGAGUGGCGAACGGGUGAGUAACACGUGAGUAACCUGCCCUUGACUUUGGGAUAACUUCAGGAAACUGGGGCUAAUACCGGAUAGGAGCUCCUGCUGCAUGGUGGGGGUUGGAAAGUUUCGGCGGUUGGGGAUGGACUCGCGGCUUAUCAGCUUGUUGGUGGGGUAGUGGCUUACCAAGGCUUUGACGGGUAGCCGGCCUGAGAGGGUGACCAGCCACAUUGGGACUGAGAUACGGCCCAGACUCCUACGGGAGGCAGCAGUGGGGAAUAUUGCUCAAUGGGCGGAAGCCUGAUGCAGCAACGCCGCGUGCGGGAUGACGGCCUUCGGGUUGUAAACCGCUUUCGCCUGUGACGAAGCGUGAGUGACGGUAAUGGGUAAAGAAGCACCGGCUAACUACGUG
Molecule: ribosomal RNA, 468 nt
Filed under: uncultured bacterium
Lineage: Bacteria
Description: partial 16S ribosomal RNA
Rfam family: Bacterial small subunit ribosomal RNA
Source: RNAcentral